ACAGCUCAAAUUUGAAAUCUGGCCUCCUCGAGGUCCGAGUUGUAAUUUGUAGAGGGUGCUUCGGGUGCGAUGCCGGUCUAAGUUCCUUGGAACAGGACGUCGUAGAGGGUGAGAAUCCCGUAUGCGACCGGCAAUCAAGCCCGUGCGAAGCCCCUUCGACGAGUCGAGUUGUUUGGGAAUGCAGCUCAAAAUGGGUGGUAAAUUUCAUCUAAAGCUAAAUAUUGGCCAGAGACCGAUAGCGGACAAGUAGAGUGAUCGAAAGAUGAAAAGCACUUUGGAAAGAGAGUCAAACAGUACGUGAAAUUGUUGAAAGGGAAGCGCUUGCAAUCAGACCGGUCCGGAGGCGAUCAGCCGCUGCUCGUCAGCGGUGCACUCGCCUGCGAUCCGGCCAGCAUCGGUUUGGGCGGCGGGAUAAAAGUCCCGGGAAUGUAGCUUCUCCCGGGGAGUCUUAUAGCCCGGGUCGCAAUGCCGCCCGCCCGGACCGAGGACCGCGCUUCGGCUAGGAUGCUGGCAUAAUGGUUGCAAGCGACCCGUCUUGAAAAACACGGA
RNAcentral lists this ribosomal RNA (549 nucleotides) under Sticta sp. 3 JAMD-2022. RNAcentral's name for it is "partial large subunit ribosomal RNA". It matches the Rfam family "Eukaryotic large subunit ribosomal RNA", at positions 104 to 665 of the family's 3401-position model. The record is from RNAcentral. Lineage: Eukaryota; Fungi; Ascomycota; Lecanoromycetes; Peltigerales; Lobariaceae.